RNAcentral lists this non-coding RNA (922 nucleotides) under Craugastor uno. RNAcentral describes it as "12S ribosomal RNA". It matches the Rfam family "Bacterial small subunit ribosomal RNA". Lineage: Eukaryota; Metazoa; Chordata; Amphibia; Anura; Craugastoridae. The record is from RNAcentral.
CACAAAGGUUUGGUCCUAACCUUGUAAUCAAUUAUUACUCAAAUUACACAUGCAAGUCUCAGCCCCCCAGUGAAAACGCCCUCAACCCAAAAGAAGUAAGGAGCCGGUAUCAGGCACAAUAAUUCGCCCAAGACACCUAGCCACGCCACACCCCCAAGGGUAAUCAGCAGUGAUUAACAUUGAAUAUUAACGACAGUUAGACUCAGUCAGAGUAACAUAGAGCUGGCCAACCUGGUGCCAGCCGCCGCGGCUACACCAUGAAGCUCAAAUUGAUAACCAUCGGCGUAAAGCGUGGUAAUUUACUAACUGGAAUUAAACUUAAACUGGGUUGUGAUAAACCUGUGUUAAGGAAACUCAAAAACGAAAGUUAUUCUAGUCACCCCCUCCCCACGACAGCUGAGACACAAACUGGGAUUAGGUACCCCACUAUGCUCAGCCGUAAACCUUAAUUUACACUAAAAUCGCCAGGAAACUAUGAGCCAUGCUUAAAAUCCAAAGGACUUGACGGCGCCUUAUACCCAACUAGAGGAGCCUGUCCUAUAAUCGAUAAUCCCCGUUCAACCUCACCCCUUCUAGCUUUUCAGCCUGUAUACCUCCGUCGUCAGCCCACCACGUGAGCGUCAUUCAGUAAGCUCCCCCGCUCUAUUCACAUAAACGUCAGGUCAAGGUGCAGCAAACGAAGGGGGAAGAGAUGGGCUACAUUCUCUACCCUAGAGCACACGAAUGACUGCAUAUGAAACCCAGUCUGAAGGCGGAUUUAGAAGUAAAGGGAAAUCAAAGAGUUCCCUUUAAGCUGGCACUGAGACGUGUACACACCGCCCGUCACCCUCCUCGAAGCCAAUUUACAGUAAUUAACAACUAACUGCACUAAAGAGGAGGCAAGUCGUAACAUGGUAAGCUUACCGGAAGGUGUGCUUGGAAA